This 253-nucleotide ribosomal RNA is filed under the name uncultured bacterium. RNAcentral describes it as "partial 16S ribosomal RNA". It matches the Rfam family "Bacterial small subunit ribosomal RNA", at positions 524 to 776 of the family's 1533-position model. The record is from RNAcentral.
UACGUAGGGCGCAAGCGUUAUCCGGAAUCAUUGGGCGUAAAGAGCGCGUAGGCGGCCCUGUAAGUCCGCUGUGAAAGUCAAGGGCUCAACCCUUGGAUGCCGGUGGAUACUGCAGGGCUAGAGUCCGGAAGAGGCGAGUGGAAUUCCUGGUGUAGCGGUGAAAUGCGCAGAUAUCAGGAGGAACACCGAUGGCGAAGGCAGCUCGCUGGGACGGUACUGACGCUGAGGCGCGAAAGCGUGGGGAGCAAACAGG